AUGCUCCCGAGGCUCGUUGCCGUGGCGGCGCUGGUCGCGCUGAUGUGCGCCGUCGCUGUGGCCCAGAAGGUACCUGCCGUCGGCGGUGCGCCGGUGUGCAACCUUGUCGAUCAGAACGUCGUGAAUGCUUGCUUCGAGAGCUGUGGAAGAGGUAUGAAAAUUGCCACUGCCGACAGGAUUACUUCAGCGGGUAAAGUCAAGGUUCAAGUGGACUGCUGCGUAGCCUUUGGAGGCCACUCGUGCAUGUGCCAGAUGAAGAAGGCGUGGAAGGCUCAGGGCAAAAGUGCCCAGAAUAAUGUGGGGUGCGUCAGGGAAAAGGCCUGCUAG
RNAcentral lists this ribosomal RNA (327 nucleotides) under Triticum aestivum (bread wheat). Its description in RNAcentral is "partial small subunit ribosomal RNA". The record is from RNAcentral. Lineage: Eukaryota; Viridiplantae; Streptophyta; Magnoliopsida; Poales; Poaceae.